CGGACGGGUGAGUAACACGUGGAUAACCUACCUGUAAGACUGGGAUAACUUCGGGAAACCGGAGCUAAUACCGGAUAAUAUUUUGAACCGCAUGGUUCAAAAGUGAAAGACGGUCUUGCUGUCACUUAUAGAUGGAUCCGCGCUGCAUUAGCUAGUUGGUAAGGUAACGGCUUACCAAGGCAACGAUGCAUAGCCGACCUGAGGGGGUGAUCGGCCACACUGGAACUGAGACACGGUCCAG
RNAcentral lists this ribosomal RNA (241 nucleotides) under uncultured Staphylococcus sp. RNAcentral describes it as "partial 16S ribosomal RNA". It matches the Rfam family "Bacterial small subunit ribosomal RNA", at positions 99 to 334 of the family's 1533-position model. Lineage: Bacteria; Bacillati; Bacillota; Bacilli; Caryophanales; Staphylococcaceae. The record is from RNAcentral.